RNAcentral lists this ribosomal RNA (444 nucleotides) under Porphyromonas sp. oral taxon 279. RNAcentral describes it as "bacterial SSU rRNA". It matches the Rfam family "Bacterial small subunit ribosomal RNA", at positions 28 to 462 of the family's 1533-position model. Lineage: Bacteria; Pseudomonadati; Bacteroidota; Bacteroidia; Bacteroidales; Porphyromonadaceae. The record is from RNAcentral.
GAUGAACGCUAGCGAUAGGCUUAACACAUGCAAGUCGAGGGGCAGCAUGGUCUUAGCUUGCUAAGACUGAUGGCGACCGGCGCACGGGUGCGUAACGCGUAUGCAACUUGCCUCACAGAGGGGGAUAACCCGUCGAAAGACGGACUAAUACCGCGUACACUCUAUGUUGGGCAUCCAAUGUAGAGGAAAUGAAAUUCGCUGUGAGAUAGGCAUGCGUCCCAUUAGCUAGUUGGUGAGGUAACGGCUCACCAAGGCGACGAUGGGUAGGGGAACUGAGAGGUUGAACCCCCACACUGGUACUGAGACACGGACCAGACUCCUACGGGAGGCAGCAGUGAGGAAUAUUGGUCAAUGGGCGAGAGCCUGAACCAGCCAAGUCGCGUGAAGGAUGACUGUCUUAUGGAUUGUAAACUUCUUUUAUACGGGAAUAACAAGAGUCACGUG